AGGAUUUCAGGCUUGGGGUGGCCACAUGUUGCAGGAUAGCAGGAAGAGUUGGAUGUGUUCUGCAGAGACCAGGAGAGGGAGCUACAAUGGCAGGAGAAGAAUGCAACGAGGUGCGGUCUUCUGUUCGAUGCCAAGGGCCUGUCCGGCAGUGAUUUCCUCGGGAUGAUCUAGAUGAUAUAACAAAAGGAUUAUAUAUGCAUUUGUGUGCUUCAGAAAAGGUUACUGCUACAUUCAACUUUUCACCAGAAAUGAUUCGUAUAUCCUGAAGAUGUUGCUAGCGUCUUGAAGGAUUACUUAUAUUUGCUCCCUAAUUUCCUGGAUUAUACGAAGUACAUUUAGAAGUCACAAUAGAGAAGGUUCGUAGCCUUGGCUCCAAAGCUUCAAGCUCUUAUAGAAAUUAGAA
This is a long non-coding RNA of Triticum aestivum (bread wheat), 403 nucleotides long. RefSeq lists it as uncharacterized. The transcript has 4 exons. Lineage: Eukaryota; Viridiplantae; Streptophyta; Magnoliopsida; Poales; Poaceae. The record is from RefSeq and is a predicted model, not a curated record.